UUAUAAUCCUGUGACCAGAGUGUAAAUAACUCAGUGGCUAUUGUUACACCAGUCGUACUAAUUCCUGUACCUGUAGGCUAUUAUUUUUAUGUUAAUGUGCCAUACGUAACAGAAAUGCAUUGAAGAUGCUAACGCUCUCAAGUGCUAUACAUGCCACAGCUGUACAAGUUUUUCUGGCUGCGGAGAAGAUGAUUUUACCCCUUCUAAAGCCAUUCAGACGACAUGUGCAAUAGGUAAAGUCUGUGGGAAAGGCGUUAUUGGAGAGGUUGCCUUUCGUGGUUGCACUUCUAUAAGAGAGGGACUGGCAAAUAACGAGUGUCAUGCUUCUGAAAAAGAUUCCGCGGAGCUUUGCUAUUGCUCAACUGAUCUAUGCAAUAAUGGACUCAGAAACAAUCUUGGUCUUGUCUUAGCCUUCAUUGCCAUUUUGGGCGCCAAGUAUCUGUAGACCCAGCAGCAUAUCUCAUUAUUACAAUGUUCUUUGUGUCUUUUUAGAAUACAUAUGUGAUCUAUGUUUGGUAUGGUAGCGGAAUUACAAUACUUGUAUAAU
Anneissia japonica is the source of this 547-nucleotide RNA transcript. RefSeq lists it as uncharacterized. NCBI's taxonomy places the organism in Eukaryota, Metazoa, Echinodermata, Crinoidea, Comatulida, Comatulidae. The record is from RefSeq and is a predicted model, not a curated record. The transcript has 3 exons.